GAUGAACGCUGACAGAAUGCUUAACACAUGCAAGUCUUUGGCGAAGCUGUGCUUGCACAGCCUAGCCAAGGCGGACGGGUGAGUAACGCGUAAGGAACUUGCCCUGCAGUCAGGGAUAACAGACGGAAACGACUGAUAAGACCUGGUAAAGUCAGGCGGACUCAUGUCCAGCCUGAUGAAAAGAGAUGCUGCAGGAGAGCCUUGCGUCCUAUUAGCUUGUUGGUGGGGUAACGGCCCACCAAGGCGAUGAUAGGUAGCCGGCCUGAGAGGGUGGACGGCCACAAGGGGACUGAGAUACGGCCCUUACUCCUACGGGAGGCAGCAGUGGGGAAUAUUGGACAAUGGGGGCAACCCUGAUCCAGCAAUUCUGUGUGCACGAUGAAGGUUUUCGGAUUGUAAAGUGCUUUCAGCGGGGAAGAAAAAAAUGACGGUACCUGCAGAAGAAGCGACGGCUAAAUACGUG
Molecule: ribosomal RNA, 463 nt
Filed under: uncultured bacterium
Lineage: Bacteria
Description: partial 16S ribosomal RNA
Rfam family: Bacterial small subunit ribosomal RNA
Source: RNAcentral